AAGUUGUGUAGUGCGAUCGGUGGAUGCCUUGGCACCAAGAGCCGAUGAAGGACGUUGUGACCUGCGAUAAGCCCUGGGGAGUUGGUGAGCGAGCUGUGAUCCGGGGGUGUCCGAAUGGGGAAACCUGGAAUGUCCGGAGUAGUGUCCGGUGGCCCUGCCCUGAAUGUAUAGGGGUGUGGGUGGUAACGCGGGGAAGUGAAACAUCUUAGUACCCGUAGGAAGAGAAAACAAGUGUGAUUCCGUGAGUAGUGGCGAGCGAAAGCGGAGGAGGCUAAACCGUGUGUGUGUUCAAGCCGGCAGGUGUUGCAUGUGCGGGGUUGUGGGGGCCUUGUGGUUCUGCUGCCGCAGGAUUGGCCAGUGAGAAAUGUUGCGUGAAGGUGAAGCGUCUGGGAAGGCGUACCGGAGUGGGUGAGAGUCCUGUAACUGUAAGCGUGGCACUGGUGUGGGGUUGCCCCGAGUAGCGUGGGACUCGUGGAAUUUCGCGUGAAUCUGGCGGGACCACCCGUCAAGCCUAAAUACUCCUUGGUGACCGAUAGUGGAUGAGUACCGUGAGGGAAGGGUGAAAAGUACCCCGGGAGGGGAGUGAAAGAGUUCCUGAAACCGGUCGCAUGCAAGCCGUCAGAGCCUGUGUGGUGAUGGCGUGCCUUUUGAAGAAUGAGCCUGCGAGUUAGUGAUGCGUGGCGAGGUUAACCCGUGGUGGGGGAGUCGUAGCGAAAGCGAGUCCGAUAAGGGCGUGAGUCGCGUGUUCUAGACCCGAAGCGGUGUGAUCUAUCCAUGGCCAGGAUGAAGCGUCGGUAAGACGUCGUGGAGGUCCGAACCCACUUCAGUUAAAAAUGGAGGGGAUGAGUUGUGGAUAGGGGUGAAAGGCCAAUCAAACACCGUGAUAGCUGGUUCUCCCCGAAAUGCAUUUAGGUGCAGCGUUGCGUGGUUCUUGUUGGAGGUAGAGCACUGGAUGGUCUAGGGGGCUUAUCGGCUUACCGAAAUCAGCCAAACUCCGAAUGCUGGCAAGCGUAGCGUGGCAGUGAGACGGCGGGGGAUAAGCUUCGUCGUCGAGAGGGAAACAGCCCAGAUCAUCAGCUAAGGCCCCUAAGUGGUGACUCAGUGGGAAAGGAUGUGGAGUUGCGUAGACAACCAGGAGGUUGGCUUGGAAGCAGCCAUCCUUGAAAGAGUGCGUAAUAGCUCACUGGUCGAGUGGUUCUGCGCCGACAAUGUAGUGGGGCUCAAGUACACCGCCGAAACCGCGGCAAUCAACAUGUGUUUGUUGGUUGGGUAGGGGAGCGUCGUGCACGACGGUGAAGCACCUGGGUAACUUGAUGGUGUGGAGUGUGUGCGAGUGAGAAUGCAGGCAUGAGUAACGAAUGAUAUGUGGAAAACAUAUCCGCCGUAUGACUAAGG
Molecule: ribosomal RNA, 1395 nt
Filed under: Thalassiosira rotula
Lineage: Eukaryota; Bacillariophyta; Thalassiosirophyceae; Thalassiosirales; Thalassiosiraceae
Description: partial Bacterial large subunit ribosomal RNA
Rfam family: Bacterial large subunit ribosomal RNA
Source: RNAcentral